AACGAACGCUGGCGGCAUGCCUAACACAUGCAAGUCGAACGAGACCUUCGGGCCUAGUGGCGCACGGGUGCGUACCGCGUGGUAACUUGCCCUUAGGUUCGGAAUCACUCCCCGAAAGGGGUGCUCAGACCGGAUAAUGUCUUCCCACCAAAGAUUUAUCGCCUUUGGAUGGGCCCGCGUUGGAUUAGCUAGUUGGUAGGGUAAAAGCCUACCAAGGCGAAGAUCCAGAGCUGGUCUGAGAGGAUGAUCAGCCACACUGGAGAUGAGACACAGCCCAGACUCCUACGGAAGGGAGCAGUGGGGUAUAUUGGACGAGGGGGGAAAGUCUGAUACAGCAAUGCCGCGUGAGUGAUGAAGGGGUUAGGGAUGUAAAGCUCUUUGAGCCGAGAUGAGAAUGACAGUACCGGGAGAAUAAGCACCGGCUAACUCCGUG
Molecule: ribosomal RNA, 433 nt
Filed under: uncultured bacterium
Lineage: Bacteria
Description: partial 16S ribosomal RNA
Rfam family: Bacterial small subunit ribosomal RNA
Source: RNAcentral